CGCUGAAGCACCAGCUUGCUGGUGUGGAUGAGUGGCGAACGGGUGAGUAAUACGUGAGUAACCUGCCCUUGACUCUGGGAUAAGCCCGGGAAACUGGGUCUAAUACUGGAUGCUACAUGUCACCGCAUGGUGGUGUGUGGAAAGGGUUUACUGGUCUUGGAUGGGCUCACGGCCUAUCAGCUUGUUGGUGAGGUAAUGGCUCACCAAGGCGACGACGGGUAGCCGGCCUGAGAGGGUGACCGGCCACACUGGGACUGAGACACGGCCCAGACUCCUACGGGAGGCAGCAGUGGGGAAUAUUGCACAAUGGGCGAAAGCCUGAUGCAGCGACGCCGCGUGAGGGAUGACGGCCUUCGGGUUGUAAACCUCUUUCAGCAGGGAAGAAGCCACAAGUGACGGUACCUGCAGAAGAAGCGCCGGCUAACUACGUGCCAGCAGCCGCGGUAAUACGUAGGGCGCAAGCGUUGUCCGGAAUUAUUGGGCGUAAAGAGCUCGUAGGCGGUUUGUCGCGUCUGCUGUGAAAGCCCGGGGCUUAACCCCGGGUGUGCAGUGGGUACGGGCAGACUAGAGUGCAGUAGGGGAGACUGGAAUUCCUGGUGUAGCGGUGGAAUGCGCAGAUAUCAGGAGGAACACCGAUGGCGAAGGCAGGUCUCUGGGCUGUUACUGACGCUGAGGAGCGAAAGCAUGGGGAGCGAACAGGAUUAGAUACCCUGGUAGUCCAUGCCGUAAACGUUGGGCACUAGGUGUGGGGGACAUUCCACGUUUUCCGCGCCGUAGCUAACGCAUUAAGUGCCCCGCCUGGGGAGUACGGCCGCAAGGCUAAAACUCAAAGGAAUUGACGGGGGCCCGCACAAGCGGCGGAGCAUGCGGAUUAAUUCGAUGCAACGCGAAGAACCUUACCAAGGCUUGACAUAUACCGGAUCGUUCCAGAGAUGGUUCUUCCCCUUUGGGGUCGGUAUACAGGUGGUGCAUGGUUGUCGUCAGCUCGUGUCGUGAGAUGUUGGGUUAAGUCCCGCAACGAGCGCAACCCUCGUUCCAUGUUGCCAGC
RNAcentral lists this ribosomal RNA (1048 nucleotides) under Kocuria palustris. RNAcentral describes it as "bacterial SSU rRNA". It matches the Rfam family "Bacterial small subunit ribosomal RNA", at positions 65 to 1122 of the family's 1533-position model. Lineage: Bacteria; Bacillati; Actinomycetota; Actinomycetes; Micrococcales; Micrococcaceae. The record is from RNAcentral.